This 592-nucleotide ribosomal RNA is filed under the name Acetobacter sp. RNAcentral's name for it is "bacterial SSU rRNA". It matches the Rfam family "Bacterial small subunit ribosomal RNA", at positions 362 to 968 of the family's 1533-position model. Lineage: Bacteria; Pseudomonadati; Pseudomonadota; Alphaproteobacteria; Acetobacterales; Acetobacteraceae. The record is from RNAcentral.
UAUUGGANAAUGGGCGCNANUGGAUCCAGCAAUGCCGCGUGUGUGAAGAAGGUUUUCGGAUUGUAAAGCACUUUCAGCGGGGACGAUGAUGACGGUACCCGCAGAAGAAGCCCCGGCUAACUUCGUGCCAGCAGCCGCGGUAAUACGAAGGGGGCAAGCGUUGCUCGGAAUGACUGGGCGUAAAGGGCGCGUAGGCGGUUGACANNGUCAGAUGUGAAAUUCCCGGGCUUAACCUGGGGGCUGCAUUUGAUACGUGGCGACUAGAGUGUGAGAGAGGGUUGUGGAAUUCCCAGUGUAGAGGUGAAAUUCGUAGAUAUUGGGGAAGAACACCGGUGGCGAAGGCGGCAACCUGGCUCAUGACUGACGCUGANGCGCGAAAGCGUGGGGGAGCAAACAGGAUUAGAUACCCUGGUAGUCCACGCUGUAAACGAUGUGUGCNGGAUGUUGGGUGACUUUGUCAUUCAGUGUCGUAGUUAACGCGAUAAGCACACCGCCUGGGGAGUACGGCCGCAAGGUUGAAACUCAAAGGAAUUGACGGGGGNCCGCACAAGCGGUGGGAGCAUGUNGGUUUAAUUCGAAGCAACGCGCAGAA